GAUGAAGAACGCAGCGAAAUGCGAUAAGUAGUGUGAAUUGCAGAAUUCAGUGAAUCAUCGAAUCUUUGAACGCACAUUGCGCCCCUUGGUAUUCCAUGGGGCAUGCCUGUUCGAGCGUCAUUUGUACCUUCAAGCCUAGCUUGGUAUUGGGUGCUUGUCCCGCCUCUCGCGCGGCGACUCACCUCAAAGUCAUUGGCAGCCCGCAUCUCGCCGGCCGUGAGCGCAGCACAGACGCGCUCUUGGCAACGACGGAUCGGCUCUCCAAAAGCUUAUUUCAACCACUGACCUCGGAUCAGGUAGGGAUACCCGCUGAACUUAAGCAUAUCAAUAAGCGGAGGA
This 339-nucleotide unclassified non-coding RNA is filed under the name soil metagenome. RNAcentral describes it as "partial contains 5.8S ribosomal RNA, internal transcribed spacer 2, and large subunit ribosomal RNA". The stretch from base 1 to 120 matches the Rfam family "5.8S ribosomal RNA", at positions 35 to 154 of the family's 154-position model. The record is from RNAcentral.